CGGGACUUUUACGGCAAAAAGCCGACCGGGAGGUUCUCAAAUGGGAGGAUCACGACGGAUUUCAUUGCGGAGGCCUUCAAGAUCAAGCCGAGCAUUCCCGCGUACUUGGACCCGGAUUAUAAAAUAUCGGAUUUCGCCACCGGAGUGACCUUUGCCUCUGCGGGGACGGGUUAUGACAACGCGACAUCCGAUGUGCUCGUGAGUCUCUCUUCUUAAGAUACCAUGUGUGGCUAGAUCGACCCAUCUGUUUAGUGGAAUGAAUGAAUUAUACCUAAGGAAAUGACCUUGAGAGAGCUUUUUUCUUCUUCUUUUUGUCCCUAUUAUUUCAGACAACGAAGAACUGCAAUUCCAAUAUAUUAGGUUAAGCAUUUUUUCAAAGUGACAUUAUCAUAAUCACAUGUUUAUGUUUGGUUUGCAAGUCUGUGAUACCCCUGUGGAAGGAAAUUGAGUACUACAAGGACUACCAAAAGAAGCUAAGAUCGUACCUCGGGCCGAGCUCCGCGAACCAGGUGCUCGGUGAGGCGCUCUACAUGAUCAGCAUCGGCACGAACGACUUCCUCGAGAACUACUACACGAUGCCGGGCCGCCGCUCGCAGUUCUCUGUGACACAGUACGAGGACUUCCUCAUCGGGAUUGCGGAGAAGUUCGUGAGGGACCUCUACGGCCUCGGGGCGCGCAAGAUAUCGUUCGGGGGCUUGCCGCCGAUGGGGUGCCUGCCACUCGAGAGGACAACGAACGUGAUGGAGCAGAACCAGUGCGUGGAUAAUUACAACGACGUGGCCUUGGAGUUCAACGGCAAGCUGAAGGGCAUGGUGGGGAGGCUGAGCUCGGAGCUCAAGGGGAUCAACCUGGUGUUCUCUAACCCGUAUUACAUCACGAUGCACAUCCUUCGGAGGCCCGCUUCCUACGGUGAGUCCUCUUUUAAUCAGCUCCAUCCUUCGUAUAUCUACGUAUUAUUUCGUGUAGUCAGCAUCUCGGGCAGGCUGGCGUGUGCCAUAAAAAGCACUACUCACGUUUCAAGAAAAAGAAUUCGUUUAAGCUUGAUUGAAUAGACUCAAAAGCGGAAUAUUACUAAAAAAAGUCAUUUAUCUAUUUUAAUUAUGUAAAUCCAGUACUAAAUUUUUUUUUUGUCAAUUCAAUUCUAAACAUUUUGUGAUUGUGUCAAUUCAAUUCAUCUCGGCUGACGCUAACGUGAAUAAUUUUCAAUAAUAAUUUAUUUAUUUUAAAUUUUUUAUUCUUUUUUCCUUUCUUCCUUCUUUUCCCUUUUUUUCCCCAUUGUGCCAAGAAGGCUUGCCAGCCUCGCCAUGGUCUCCCAAGCCUUGGGCGAAGGCGUCCUCACCACCUAGAUCUAGGCAAAGCCACCUUGCUCACGGUCCCUAGGCCUCGCCUAGAUCAACGUUCAUAUUAGUAUUAACUGGCUAAAAUUGGCCGGAUGAACUAAAUUAUUUUAGAAUGGAAUUGACAUAAUUACAAUAGAUUUGAGACUUUCUUUUUUUUGUGGUAAUUUUCCCCUAAAAAUCUAAUAAAGGCUGCUGACUAUUCAUCUCAUCCUUCUUCCCUGCCGGUAGGAGAUUCGUAGGGACCCACAUGAAUCCGGCAUUAAAACAAGUCACGGGAUACGAGUGGUGAGGAUGGGACCUAGAGAUGUACCAUGUAGGCAUGCUGGUUUUUAAUGUAUGGCGUGGCUCUUGUGCUAGGUAGACAUCGACUCCGGAGGGAUUCUAAGACGUUUACACGAACAAGGUCUCGAUAUAAGUAUAGACAAUAUCGCAUGAUCUUGGUCUAGAAAAGCUCAAACUGAUUUCGAAUCUUCAUCUCAUUUAGGAUACGAAUAGAGUAAAAUUUUUACAUCGUGUUAGUUCUGUUGUUCCGACAUGAUUUCCCCACGUUCUUGGAUGUUUGUAGGGUUCGAGUCUACGUCGGUCGCGUGCUGUUCGACGGGAUUGUUCGAGAUGGGAUACGCGUGCCAGCAAAACAACCCUUUCACGUGCCAGGACGCGAACAAGUACGUGUUCUGGGACGCUUUCCAUCCCACCGAGAGGACCAGCCGCAUCGUCGCCGAUUACGUCAUGAGGACAGUCUUGGCUAGAUUCGUUUGAUCGCUGCCCCGCUACCUGCGGAUCCAUAUACAAUACCAUAUCGUAUGGUCUACGUGUAAUACGGUCUUUGUCAUUUUGUAGAGUCUACAUGCUCUCAGUGACUAUGUCUACGUGAUCUUGUGUAUAAUGUAAGUACUCGCGCGAGCGCUAUUGGGCGUAAUGCUUUGUAGUAGAAUUAUACGGUGCGAGCUUUUACUUAUUAAUUUCACAUCUUUCCUAUGUUGUUUUGAAUAUUAUUUUUGCUAUUUGAUAUCAAUGCAAUAUGUUUAAAAAAAAAUUGUACUUUUCUCAUAUAUUUUUAAUUCAUUUAUUUCUUGAGUUCUUGUAUCUCUUGAGUUCAUGUAUCUCUUGAAUACAUGCAUCUCUUGAGUUAAUAUAUCUCUUUAGUACAUGACUUCUCAAUCUCCAUAAAUUGAUACGAACUGUUCUUCAUUUGAACUAGAACAAGAAGAAGAAAAACCUCACAUCUCUUCACUUCAAUCUUCUUCGAUUGUGCUGAUUUGAGAAUUAUUCGAUGGAGUCCUAUUUGCAUAAUGUUAAUUCAAAUAGGUUUGUAGUGUUGUAUCUUGGAAGGCAUAAUUCGUAAAGCUACUUAACACCGUUUGCAGAAACUAAUCAACUUAAGGAGAUUUAGUUAGCUAUACCUUACACCAAUCAAUUUUACUUGUAAAGAUUAUAUAUAUAUAUAUAUAUAUAUUGACUUGGUCGUCAUUAUUAAUUUGUUAUCACUUUCGGCUUUAAUCACGGUAAACAGUGCGGAGUUGCAAACAUAUUUCCAACACCAUUGAUGGCCAAAUCAAGGGACCUCCUUUUUUGGUGGAAAACUUUCAAUGCUCUCAAUUAGGGAAAAGUGUAAAAAAAAAACUAUAAACCUUUUGUAUUUGUGUUAAUUUAGUUUUGAACCUUUUAUUGGUACCACUUUAAUAUUAAGUAUUUUUACUUGGUGCCAAUUUAGUCAUUCCCGGCUAAUUUUAUUGACUGAACGUAGAUCGGCUAACAUGACACGAUUGGCAUUGACCCAGACAACUUAUAAUAAUAUUUUAAUAUUUUUCGAUUUUUAUGUUUUAUUUUAUUUUAUUUUUCCUUUUCUUUUUCUUUUUUCUUCUCCUCUCCCUUCCAUCGGCCGAUCACUAGACCUUGGCAAUAAGCCAAAGGCAACACCCAACGAGGUCAAGGUGGACCUUGCCGGCCACUAGCGAGGCUAGAGCCCUCGCCAAAGGUUGCAAGGGUUGCUCACACUAGGUGAUGAGGCUCGCCCUCGCCGGAUUUGGUGAGGGUCAAGCCUCAUUGGCCAUGGGCGAGGCUAGCUCAAGGCUGCCCAGGCCAUGGCGGCUUGCGUUGGGCUAGUGAGGCAUGACCUUGCUAGAUCCGACGGGGUUGAGCCUCUCCUGGCCACUAGUGAGGCUUACCAGAGGCCGAUGAGGUUGAGGUUGAUCUCAUCAACCAUCGCCAAGGUCCGGCGACCGGCUAGAGGAACGAGGAGAAGAAGGAAAAAAAUAUAUAUAAUUCGAAAUUCGAAAUUUUUUUAAAUAUUAUUAAAAGUUAUUCACGUUAGCACCGGCUAUGCCAUGUCAGUUGACCGGUGUCUAACCAAUAAAAUCCCAUCAAAAUUAGCUAGAAUGACUAAAUUGGCACCAAAUCAAAGGAUUUAGGAAAAAAUUGACACCAAUAAAAGGUUUAGGAUUAAAUUUGCAUAAAUACAAAAAGGUUUAGGACUUUUCUUUUUGACACUUUUCCCCUCUCAAUUACAUUUGGAGUUUUUUCUUUUCAAGUGUUUCGCUAUCUUGGGCGGUUGCAACUACAUGUUGAUGUCAUUAAGUCUCCUCUGUCUCUCUGUCUCUCUGUCUCUCUCUCUCGCUCUCGCUCUCGCUCCAGUUAUCUUGCUCCAGAUAUCUUUUUGUGGACUUUGAGGCCAAUGUUAAUGUUCUCUUUCGGUAGAGCGGUUGGGCAAGUCACUUUGUCUUCUAUGGUUUUUCCACUUUCAUAAUUGCGAGUCAUUAAAUAACCUUGACGACGCCCAUCGUUGGAUCGUCGCAUUGAAAAAGUAUCAGGAGAGUGCAUUUUUUGUCAAACACGCAUGAGUAGUUCCUUUCGCGACUUGAUGAGGUUGAUUUCUGCAUCAAUGGCCUCAUUCUUUACUCGAAGAGUAAAUACGAUGAUGUUUGAUCGCUGAUGAAACUGUUCGAUGGGGGUCCUAAAACCAGCCUUGCCUUUUCUUGUUGGAUUUGAUGAUGCACAGCUGCUCUUCUUCUUUAUAUCAUUUCGGUGUCCGGACAAACCCUAGAAACAUCCCCCAAAAUGACGUGCCACUUUAGCACAAAAUCAAACUCUCUCAGGCCCGACCAAUAAUUCAUGCCAAGUACAAUCCAACCGGUCCACAUUUGACAAUUUCAACGACCUCCUCCAACUAAAAAUCCCGCCCGGCAUCUCUUAUUUAUGACAAGCCCCCUCGACACGACGCCCUCCAAUCUCCCCUCGAGCACCAUACACAGCAGAAAUUAUUAACGAGAAAUGGCCCUCGUCAAGUACGGCGCCGCGCUGUUCCUGCAUCUCCUCUGUUUGGUCACGACAGCAAGCGCCGAAGUCCCGGCGAUAAUCGUGUUUGGAGAUUCCACGGUCGACGCAGGGAACAACAACUACAUCCCAACGAUCGCCAGGAGCAACUUCGAGCCCUAUGGCCGGGACUUUGACGGCAAAAAGCCGACCGGGAGGUUCUCGAAUGGGAGGAUCACAUCGGAUUUCAUUGCGGAGGCCUUCAAGAUCAAGCCGAGCAUUCCCGCGUACUUGGACACGGCUUAUGAAAUAUCGGAUUUCGCCACCGGAGUGACCUUUGCCUCUGCGGGGACGGGUUAUGACAACGCGACAUCCGACGUGCUCGUGAGUCUCUCUUCUUAAGAUACCAUAUGUGGCUAGAUCGAAGCAUCUUGAGAGACCUUUUUUCUUCUUCUUUUUCAACCCUAUUAUUUCAGACAACGAAGAACUGCAAUUUCAAGAUAUUAGGCUAAGCGUUUUUUCGAAGUGAC
This 5122-nucleotide long non-coding RNA is filed under the name Eucalyptus grandis. RNAcentral describes it as "long non-coding RNA (EGRA_LNC000152)". Lineage: Eukaryota; Viridiplantae; Streptophyta; Magnoliopsida; Myrtales; Myrtaceae. The record is from RNAcentral.